CUGGCUCUGCAUGGAGGAGACAGUGUAACCGGGGAGGGCCACAGGUAGGCAGAGUUACAUGGCCUAGUAAGAAUACAUAUAUUUGAUUUACUACACGGAUAGACAAAAUUUACAUAUAAAGGAUCAUAUGGGACAAAUAAAUGAAACAAGGAACAGACCGUACAGUAGCCAUUCCAGGCUUCGUAGGCUGUGUGCAGCUCUGCAGCUAUUCACCUGUGCCUGUGGAGCUCACCAGUCAUAGCAAGAUGUAUGGCAGAAGUUUUUAUUUUCCUUUUUAAAAAGUAUGCAAGUCAGAUUGCAUAAAGCUUGCCAAUCUUUUACUCUUCCUGUGUUCUCAGGUUCCCUAACCAAAUCAACUUUAUGGUAUAUUCACAUUUAGAGUUUUGAAAGCCACUUCCAUUAUUUAUUACCUUUGCUAAGUUUCCCCAGGUGCGUGAAGAAGGCAGGCAUAAUAUUAUUCCCUUUUAUGAAAGAAAGCUAAGUGAUGUAGCUGAAGGGCUAGUGGCUAACCCAGUUUGUAGAGUGUGCGUCUUUCACAAAUAAGCCCUAGAGUCAGUCCUGAUAUCCAGAAUGGAUCUGGGAUCUCACGUCUUGAGAGGAGUCAAAGGGUUCAGAAAUUCAAGAUCAUCCUUUAGCUACAUAGAGUUUUAGGCCAGCUUAAGCUGUAAGAGACUGUCUCAAAUGAAACAGACGGACAGACAAACAAACAAUAUAUCUUAAGUGAUUUAGCUAAUUCAUUCUCAGAGGUGGAAUCGUGUAAAUUUUAGGCUGCUGACACCUGGUUUAGUGCUCUUCCCUAUGUUUUACAUUGCUGUGGUACAUUUAACUAGAGGAGACUGUAUAUAUAAAGUACCUUUUAUUGUGUGUGGGAGAAGAGGAAAAUGAAAGGAAAAAAUCAAUUCCUGUGAUUUUGUUGUUGUUGUUAUUGUUCUUAUUUUACUCUUACGGCUUUUUUUUUUUCAAUACAGAUUAAAAGGGAAUGUUUUAGAACUGUAUUCUUAUAAUGUAGCCCUGGAAUCCUGUCAGCUGGUGGUAUAUCUCAGCCCAUAAUUGAAUACUAUUUAGACUUAAACAAAUUAAACAGUGAAUGAAAAAUAUCCUCAUUCUAUGAGAAACACAAGAGAAAAUUUGGAGAACAUUUCCUAGUUGUUUUUCCAAACAUGGAUGGAAGUUAACUAUAAAGGAACUUUUACUUUGAAAAGGCUUUAAAUUCAUAAGCCAGGUCUGGUGGCUUACACCUGUAAUCCACGGGCUCAGGAGGCUGAGACAGGAGUGCUGUGAGUUCAGGGCAAGCCUGGGCCACAUAGUAAACAAUAACAAGCACGCACGGGCGGAGACCUUCCUCUGUUACCUCAUACACAGUACAACACUGAGGUCCAGGAGAGUCUGGGCUACAAAAUGAAGCCCUGUCUUAAACAAGCAAAUAAAUAAUCCAGGCAUGGUGGUACAGGCCUAGGGCAGGAGGGUUGAAAAGCUAAGACCUGUCUAGGCCGUAGAAUGAGUUCAGGACCAGCAGAGACCCUGUCUCAAAACACAAAAAUUCAAAUGGAUCAGUUAUAGCUCAAUGGCAGUGCACUUGCCUCACAUUUCCAAGGCCCUGGGUUCAAUCCCUACUGGCAAACAAACAAACAAACAAACAAACUCACAAGAACGAUCUGGAAACAUCAAAUAUAGGCAGUGGCUUAAUGGUUAACCUGAGUGUUCUUUUCCCAAUACUCUUGUCAGGCUGCUCGGUCACAUGUAAUUCUUUUUUUUUUUUUUUUUUUUUUUUUUUUUUUUUCUUUUUCUUUUUUUCGGAGCUGGAGACCGAACCCAGGGGCCUUGCGUUUGCUAGGCAAGUGCUCUACCACUGAGCUAAAUCCCCAACCCCCACAUGUAAUUCUUAAGCGACGGCAUUACGGUCGUCCUGGUUCCAAACUUUCCGUUUUUUUUUUUUUUUUUUUUUUUUUGUAAGCAGAGAAACUUUUGCAUAUAUACAAUGCACAUACAUUUCCUGUACAAGGGAAUAAGCGUGUCUCCAGUGAGGUUGGUUACGUACAUACCACUCAUUCUCACAGAUGUGUGUCUUUAGACAAUAUCUGUAGUCAGGAUUCAUAAGAUGGGGAUGACUGCAUGCCCUAUGAUUAAAAGUACAUAAUUUGGGGUUGAGGAUUUAGCUCAGCGGUAGAGCGCUUGCCUAGCGAGCGCAAGGCCCUGGGUUCGGUCCCCAGCUCCGAAAAAAAGAAAAAGAAAAAAAAAAAGUACAUAAUUUUUUUUUUUUUUUAAAAUAUGGAACGCUUCACGAAUUUGCGUGUCAUCCUUGCGCAGGGGCCAUGCUAAUCUUCUCUGUAUCGUUCCAAUUUUAGUAUAUGUGCUGCCGAAGCGAGCACCAUAAUUUUUAUAUUGUUACUUUGACUAAAAAUGUAUCAGUGAGGGGAACCUGGUUGUUCCCCCUCAGUCAUUGAGGGCUCUUGGGAUGGUUUCAGGAGGUUCUUCUGAAGGAAUUAAAACAGAUAUAUGCUUUCUAGGCCUGUGAGGGGCUUUUGGGGGGGCAAAAAAGUUUUAUGGUUGUAUAACUCUGAAAUUAUAUACUGAAUUGUAAAUUUUACAAGGCUAAAUUUUAUAGUAUGUGAAUUAUAGCUCAAAAUUUGUUUUUCUUUAAUGUAAUCAGAGUUUUGCUUCCCAGGCUUACCAUGAAUUUCUGGACCCAAGUGAUGCUUUUGUUAAUUUCCUCAAUAGCUGGGACUAUGGGUGUGUACCCCAGCUGUAUAGUUCAUUUAGAAAAAUCAGACGUUAGCUACCAAAUUGAUGAAUCCCCCUUUCUUAGGGCUCAGAAUGCUGGAAGGAGCCUUUGAGUGCAGUCCUGGUGGAGCUUUGGACCCAUUGCACAGCAAGGAAGCAUAAGGCUCUGUUCAGCCUCUUGGCCCACUUUGUCCUUUUAUGUCUCUCUCAUUAACUCAAGGAAGCACAUGGCUUUUAUAUUUAAAUUUAUUCAAGCUGUAAUCUUUGACAUUUGAGUUAGCUUUUAGUACAGUUUUGCAUUUAUAGUAAUAUAUAUUAUGUAUUUUCUCUAUCCCCAAAGAAUCCCUUUUAAUCUUUUCCGGAUGCAAAUUUCAGGCUGUCUUGUCCCAUCUCCCCUCUCUUGCUCUCUUUCCCCUCCCCCCACAGAGUAUGUUUGAUCAGGUGUGGCAGGAAUAUCCACUGUCAAGCUGCGCCCUUUAUAUUAGUCAAUAUUAUCCUUCCCCCCCUCCCUGUCUGUCUGUUCCUUUGGGCUUUCCCAGUUGAUUUAUAAUUUUGGAAUUCUCAUCGGAGUCUGUAAUACAGUUUGUUCAUUAUUUAACCAAAACCUGUUUAAUGAGCAGAGAGAGGCAAUGUAAAUGUUAGACAUGUUGCAGUGAUGUACCUUUGUGCUUCUUAGAACGGGUGGGUAGUUAACUCUGUGCUGCCUGCAGGGCUGGGGUAUCCUGGGCUUAGGGGAGAAGGGCCACUGUGGGCGUGGUAGUGGCCCUUUUCCCUAAGUGGCCUUUAUAUCUGCCCAAACCCUGCCACAGCUCCACAUUCCGGUGAUGCGUUUCCUUUUACCAUUCUAGUGAUCUUGUGGCGCUCUGGCAAAUACUAGAGCUCUUUAAGCUAGAGCAGUGGUCAGUCAGAUGUGUGGCAUGCAAUGGGCCACAACAGGAAGGUCAGGUACCAGGGCUUCUGACAUUGCUCUUGGUUUCAGGUCUGAAAAGAGAUGAGAGUUAAGAGGAGUGAUUCUAGCUGACAUGGUUUGUGAUCUUUGGGUAAUUUUUUGCCAGACUGGAUAAGUCUUUGUAAGACUUACCUCAUUUAGUAUACUUCUGUGGGAUGAGCUUUACUCACUUAUGAUUUGUGGUGUUUGGCUGUGCUUAUUUGUACCCAGAUUUAGGGUGCCCAUUUUCCUGGUCUUCAAGUACCUCCUCCAUAUAUUUGUCUUCAUGUGUCCACACGCUUCUAAAUUUACAUUUUUACAAGGGAUCCUUGCUAGAAAAAAUCUUGGAUUUUCAUCAGAAAGAAAUAUUCUAAAACUAUCAUAAAAAUUUCUUAUAGGAUUUUUUUUUUUUUAUUUUGCUGCUGGGGAUUCCACCCAUGGCCUUGUACAUGCUAUGGAAGUGCUCUAUCACUGAGCUGCCUCCCAGCCUUGUUCUUAUUUUAUUUAUUCAUUUAUUUUGACCAAGUUUUACUUUAUAGCUCAGGCUAGCUUCAAAAUCAGAAUUCUCUUACCUCCACCUCCCAAGAGAUGGGAUAUCCUUGUUUGUUACCAUGCCCAUCUGGGACUACCUUUUAAUGGCAUUAAAGCCUUAAGGGCCAGACUUGAGGAAGACACUCACACACACUCUCUCUCUCUCUCUCUCUCUCUCUCUCUCUCUCUCUAUAUAUAUAUAUAUAUAUAUAUAUAUAUAUAUAUAUACACACACACAUAGAUAUAUACUUAUAUAUCUGUAUCUAUGUAGAUAUAUCUAUAUAUCUAUAGUCUAUCUCUAUCUAUCUAUCUAUCUAUCUAUCUAUAUCUAUAUCUAUAUCUAUAUCUAUAUAUAACUGAGAGGGAGAAAAUAAAAACCAAGGUGUUUGUGUAUGGUGAACCAAAAGUCGUGUUUUUUGUAGCUGCUGGUGUUACAAGACCAGUGGCUGUCAGACCACUCUGAAAUGACUUGUGGUCUCUGAUCUAUAAUGAUGCUUACGAGGUAUGGAGAGGAAGACAGUGAACGAGGACAGUUGGCAGCCACAUUUCCCUCCUUCUCUCCCUCCCUUUAACUUGGUCUUACUAUUUAUUUAGCACAGGGUUAUUUUCCCAGUGUGCUAAGAUUUUAGGCUUGUGUUGCCAUGUCUAGCUUGCUGCCAUUUUUUGUUCAUUUGAGUAACAAGUCAAGGAGAAUGAAUAAAAGUUGUAUUUUUUCAAGUUGGCUUUCUCAUGUAAAGCUGUUAUAGCCAAAAUUUAGAUGUUUCUAAAGGCAUCAGUGGCUUGCAUAGAGUACAUCUUAGGGAUAGGAUAUUUCUUUACUGAGCUAACUGGGAUAGCAGGAACUCUGACAUAUUUGAGUUUAAGAGGGAGAAGCAGGUGCCUGGAGAAAGUGAGUGUGUUAGGAGUUUAUUUAAAUAUAGUUUAUCUUGGACAAACACACCUGUAGGGUACAGUCUGUCUCAAGCUUUUUGAAUUCAGAAUCUGAGCUAGGAGGUUUGAGUACAUCUACCCUCCAGAGGUUUCAGAGAACAUUUAAACAGAGUCUGGAAGCCAAUCUGGGAGGAACUAUGACUUAACACCUGUCUGGCCCAGGCCCCUUAGAAAUAGCUGCCUAGGUAGAAGAGAACUGCUCAAAGAUGCCUAAUUAUCUUAGGAAUAAUUGUCAGGAAAAAAUUGAAUACAUUAUAUUAUUUUAUAUAUAUAUUAAAAAUAACUAGAUUUACUUCUUGUAUUGAUUGAAUAUAUAUAUUCAUUUUUUUCUAUAGAUGUCUAUAGUUUGGGGAGUAGCAGAAUAAGAGAUCAUUAGGCAGCAUAUGAAGAGUGAUAAGUGAGCAUUGACUUUCCUUCCCUUGGAACUGAAGUAAACUUUUUAUUUUGCUUUGUUUGAGGCAUUGUCUCACUAUGUAGCCUGGGCUGGUGGAAUUCAUUAUGUAGAUCAGGCUACUCUGGAAUGCAGAUAUCUUUCUACCUCUGUCUUCUGAGUGCUGACAUUAAAGGUGUGUAUAUCACUAUGCCUGGCAAGAAUUGAACUUUUAAAUUGUCUAAGGUAUAACAGAAAACUAUUUUGUUUCUUUUUAGAGGAAAUUAAAAAAAUCAAAUUUGUCAGACAAAUUUAAAUAAACGACUGAAUAUUGGAAGGGGCAAAGUUGGCCAAAUGUAUGUAUUUCCUAUACCACUUAUUUACUCUUUAUGAUAAAACAUAAGAUCCCAUAUAUAAAUGUAUUUAUGUAUUUACUACAUACACACAGAUAGAAAACAUAGAUUGAUGAGCAUGUUAGAAUGUGGCCUGAUAGUUGGGGACAAUAACUCUAUGUGAAGUAGAGGCAGGACUGGUGAGGCUCAACAGUUCAAAUCAUGAUUGAGCAACAAAAUGAGACCUUGUUAAAAAGGGUGUGAGGUCCUGCCUCAAAAACAAGGUGGAGAGCAAUAGAAGAUGACCACAGUGACUUUUGGUCUCCGAGGGCCUGUUCAUGUCACCAUGAGCUCAUAUAGACAUGAACGUGCACACACAUGAUGUGGGUGAUAAAGACUCUUGAGAAUAGAUAGCUGGGUAUGGUGAUGUGUGCUUAUUAUAACAUGGGGGACUGAAACAGCUAGAUCAUGAGUUGGAGGCCAGCCUGGAUAAUAUAGUUUCAGGAAAGGACAGAUUCAUAAUGAGAACCUGUCUCAGAAGGAGGAAGGCAAGGGAUAGGAGAGAGUUCUGUGUAGUCUUGCUUCUUGUGGGUACAGCUCUGCCUUUACUCUCUGUAAUACCCAGUUACAUCCUUCAGAAUCAAGUCUGGCUGAUAGGAAUGCAUGUUUUUUACUAUAUCUAAUUAUAAAGAGAAAUAAUAAUAAUAAUAAUAACAACAGCAACAACAAUAAUAAUACUACAAAGGGCAUUGUUAAUAUCUUAGUUCUCAAAAAGAGAGGCAAAGGUAGCUGACUGUUUUCUAGCAUAGUCUGUAGGCAUUGUAGCAGGACGGCCUCAGUGUUAGCUGUCAGAGUCAUUGGGUUGCUUUCCUGGCUUUUGUCUUCAUUGGCAUUCUUUCUCUUGAGGUCUGAUGUGUCUCCCUGAGUAUAUGCCCAACUUGCUGUGUCAGCAAUCAGUUACGUAAAAGGAGGGAUAGCCAGCUGCUUUUUUGUUUUUUAACAAGGAGGUAGUAAACUCACUUUUUUCCACACCCAUUCAAACUCUGGGCAAAUGCCAAAAGGAUUUAGAGAAAGCCAAAUGUUUGAAAUCCAAUCAAUGUGUAGUUUUAAGCAGGAAAGAUAAUGUAAAGUUUGUUUUAACCCUACCCAUCUCUACCUGCCUCAUGUUCAUAGGACCUUAAUUGAUCAUCCUAGUUUCUGAAAUAGUACAGGGUAUGUUUAUGGAAAGAAUGAAUACCUUUCCCCCACUCCUUAUAGCCAUUUAAAGAGAGUUAGAUAUAUAGCAAAAUACAAAUUAGAACCCUUUAGCUCAGACCACUUUAGAAAUUUGUGGUAGGUAGGUGAGGAGCUCUGACUCCUUUAUGGUCUUACUUUUGCCUCAGGAAACCAACAGGUAGCCAUUACCCUUUUUUGUAGCCUUCGUUUGUUUUAUAACCUUUUGGACUUAGAUGGACAAGUGCUCCUGGAUGCCUGCUGGCUAGCUUCUCAUGGGAAGCCUCUUCUGGACCAUCAGCCUCUGCUAACCACUGCUGCAACUGUAGGUCAGGAGAUGAAGGGCUGCCACAUGUGCACAGAGCACACUGACGUUCCCUUGUUCCAUGCUUAUUGAGCAAUUACUUGUCAGCUGUGGAAUUCACAUUUUUGCCUCCAGGUUCUUGCCCAGUGUGAACUGUGGGUAUUUUGGAAGUAGUCUGAUAGACCGUACAUCAGAGGGCAGUAAAUCGUCAUUUGACUUGGUGGGAAGAGCCAGAUGUAGUGUAGGAGGAAGGACUUUCUGUAGUCACCAUGCAGUUGCUUCCACAUGUCCCAACCAGAAAGCAGCUUAAGAACCAGGGAAUAAGGGUAGCUGGGGGCAUGAUGGGAUAGGUAAAGGACCAAGAGGGCUUCAGUGUUAUCUAGGAUUGGUCUUGGGUUAGGAAAAGUCCUUUAACAAUAGGAACAAAUAAGAUUUCCCUGAUAUCAGUAAGUUUUUCCAUUAGUAUUUUUGUUUUUAAGUAAAAUAAAACAAAACUGGAAAAAACUCAUUCCACAUGAAUGCUCAUUUUCUUUGAGUAAAUGGCAGGUUUAAGGAAACUGGCUCCUGAGCCUGGAGAAGCCUUGGCGGUUACGAGUGCUAGCUACAGCUGUACUCUAGAACUCAAUCCCCAUAGCUACUGCUGUACUCUAGAACUCAAUUCCCAGCACCCACAUGGCCGCUCACAACUGUCUGUAACUCCAGUUCCAGGAGAUUGGUGCACAUAUGGUGCACAUAUGUAUGUAUGCAGCACAUACAUACAUAUGCAAAUGAGCAAAAUGCACAUACACAAAAAAUAAAAAUAAUCUUAAAACAAGUUGGCACCAAAUUGACUUAGCAAAACAGAACUGAGGUGAUGUCAUGACUAUCUUAUUGAGAGCUAGAGCAAUAUUUUCAGAUUUGCUUCCCAUAGUGAAUUAUAAUGUGACAGUGAGGUGUGAGACAUCUCUUCUCCGAUUUUAAUUAAUUAAUUAUUUUUAUUGUUAUUUUGUGUGGAUGUGGAAUAAUUUUUUUAUACCUUCACCUGGGUUCCGGGGACCAAAUGCAGGUUGUCAGGGUUUGCAGCCAGUGCACUUUACCAAGUGGUUCAUUUUUCUAGCUCACCUCCCGAUUAUUACUUUUUAUUUUAUUAAAAUUGUUUUAACUUACAUUCAUUUAGUAUGUCAUAGAUAGUUAUGACUUUCUAACUAUCAUUUAUUUGCAUUUACUAGUUGUCAUUUUCUGUGAACAAUUGCUUUCCUCUUUAGUUGGAGAAUAAACCAGAAAUUUUCUCUAGAAAGGCAUGGUAAACACUUAAUUCUUGGGGUUUUUUUUUUUUGUUUGUUUGUUUGUUUGUUUUCAGGAGCUGGGGACUGAACCCAGGGCCUUGUGCUUGCUAGGCAAGCGCCCUACCACUGAGCUAAAUCCCCAACCCCUUUUUUAGUUUUUUUAAACAUUUAUUUAUUUAAUAUGCUCUGCCUGCAUGCCAAAGAGGACAUCAGAUUGUAUUACAGAUAGUUGUGAGCCACCAUGUGGUUGCUGGGAUUUGAAUAAUUCUUGGUUUUAAUAAGUUCAGAACAGGAAGUUCAUAUAAAUAAUGACCAUUACUGGUGUCAAAUUUGUUUUUUUACUUAUUUGACUUAUAAAUAUUUAAUUAGUCAAAGUUUAUAAUCAGUCAGGUAAAACUAGUGUUUAAAAUUGUUUCAAGUUUGACCAAUGAAACCAUCUUCAGAUUGGUUACUUUGUUCUUUUAACAUGACUCCUUUGAGUACUUCAUGCUUUCUGAUAAAGCAAGUAACAUUAAUGGGGAGGUGGGAAGAUAAAGUGGAAGCUAUUGGUGUAUCGCAUGUCAUUAAUAAGGGUAAAUGUUAUGCUAGUUCACUUAGAGCCUGGUUUAUGGGGCUAAGGAGAGAACUCAAUUGGUAAAGUGCCUGCCAUGCAGGUCUGAGGAUCUGAGCUUGGAUCCCUAGGACCCAGGUAGAAAGCUAGACACAGUAGCAUGAGUCAGUAAUCCCAGCUGUAGAGAUGUGGUGUAAGGGCAGCCAGUUUAGCCAGUUGGUGAGCUUCAGAUUCAGUGAGAGACCUUGUCCCAGAAAAUAAAGAAGAGAUCAAGGGAUCAAGGAAGAUACCCAGUGUCCACUUCUGACCUCCAUACAUGUGCACCCUCCACCACAUGUUACACACACACACACACACACACACACACACACACACACACACACACACACACGUGUUCAAAAAAAUAGAAACAAAGGAAGAGAGAGAGAGAGAGAGAGAGAGAGAGAGAGAGAGAGAGAGAUAGAUACAGUCUACGCUGUCUUUUCAUUGAUAAUACUCAAAGAAGUUUAGAAGCCUGGCAGAGAGUUUGAUUCCCCCUUGUCCCAGAACUGCUUUGGAUUUGAAGUGUUAUUUCUUGGGCAAGGAAUCUAAAAGAGUGUUGUAAGGAUGCCACUCCUAUUUAUAUAAUUAUUUUCUCCUCCUUUUUUUCUUCUUCCUCCUUCUUCUCUUCCUGUUUUUUUCUCCUCCCCCUGUCACCCUCCUCUGGUAUAAAUCUACAUCCAUGGUUCACUGUUAAUACUCACUAUAGGAAAACACAUUUUAUGAGCAGACCUAAUGACUUUGGUGGAGGAUCCUAGUUCCCUCUGCCCAGGAGUAAAAGUCCUUGGCUCAGCUCACCUGGACAGAGAUUGUAGGGAAAACAUUUGCAGGGAAAAUGGACUUCUAUUGUCAGAAACCAAAUAAGGCUCAUUAAUCCUCCCAGUUGAGCACCAGCUUAGCAUCUUAAUCAGUUCCCUUUCAGGGCUUAAAGACUCAUUCUGUUUUCUAGAUUCUAUGAAGAAAAUGAGUAGUGCCUGCUUUGAUAGAAUGGUUACAUAUGUAGGGAAUGGGAGUUAUCACCAGGGUCUUAGGUAGACUACAGACUCAAGUAAUAAUGUAAAACUGGAUUGUGUGUGGACUGAGGAAGAUAAGGGAAAUGUUUAUGUCUGUGUAGUUUUUCUCCAAAAGCCAGAGGUAAAGAAGUUGUCUGUUUCUGCACUAGAGAUUAUUUCACCCUAUUUAACGAAUUGAUGUUUUUAAGACCUGAUAGAAAUAUGUAGUUUUUUUGAGUCUUGUUUUGAAAUCUUUGUUUUUGUUGUUUAUUGAGACUUACUGUACCCAAUGCUGGCUUGGAACUCUGUAGCUUAGGCUGGCCUUAACCUCAUAGCAAUCCUCCCUCCUCAUCCUUCCCAAUGUUGGGAUGACAGGUUUGUACUACCAUACCCAACCAGUAAUUUCAAACUUUCAAGAAAAGAGUUAAAAUUAGUACUGAGGUCGGUCUCCCAUAUGCCCUUUUGCUAGUUGAUUUUAUUGUCUUCUUUCUUACUAUACAUGUGUAUUUAUAGUUAUUUUUCUAAAUUAUUUGAGAAAUUAAUCAUAUGCACUUUGAUACUUCAGUGUAUGUUUCCUAAGAACAAAGAUGUUUUACUUAAUCAAAGUAAAAUGAUCAAGUUCAAGACAUUUACUGAUUGAAUAAUUUACCAUUAAUAUUUGUCUAAGUUAAGGUUUCUAUUGCUGUGAUAAAGCACUGUGACCAAAGCAAAUUAGAGAGGAAAGGGGUCAUUUCAUCUUGCAGCUCUCAGGUCACAUUCCGUUAUUGCAAGAGUAAGGGCAGGAACUUGGAGAUAAGAACUGAAGCAGAGACCAUGAAAGAAGGUUUCUCAUUGAUUUGUUCCUGGUGGCUUGUUCAGUACCACAUGCCUAGGGGCAGCAUUGCCCACCGUGGGCUAGGCCUUCCUAUAUCAAUAUUAAUAAAGAAAAUGUCCAACAAAUUUGCCCCUAGGAAAUCCUAUGGAGCCAUUUUCUCAAUUAAGAUUUCUUCUUCCCAGUUGACAGAAAACAACCAGGACAAUUAAUUGACCACUUGUCUAUUUGACACACAAACACAUCACUAUUAACUUCUCCUUCCUUAUUUGUUCCUAAGAUGUCUUGUUAAUAUUAAUAUCGCAAUAUAUAACAUUCCAACUUUUAAAAGUCCUACAGUCCUUAAAAAUUCACUUUGAAAAUUCAGUCUCGGGGCUGGAAAGAGGGCUCAGUGGUCAAGAGCACUGACUGCUCUUCCAGAGGUCCUGAGUUCAAUUCCCAGCACCCACACGGUGGCUCACAACCAUCUGUAAUGGGAUCUGAUGUCCUCUUCUAGUGUGUCUGAAGAUACUACAAUGUGCUCAUAUUGAAAUAAAUAAAUAAAUAACACCAAGAAGUUAGGAAAAUCACACGAUUUCAUAGCUAGCAGGGAGAAAACUGUUAAAAAAAAAAAUCCAGUCUCUCUAAAAUAUUCAAAGUUGCCUGGUGGUAGUGGAACACAUCUUCAAUCCCAGCACUUGAGGGGGAGAGGCAGGCAGAUCUCUGAGUUUGAGGCCAGCCUGGUCUACAAAGUGAGUUCUAGGACAGCCAGGGCUACACAGUAACCCUGUCCAGUAAUUAAAGUCGAUAAUGAUGAUGAUGAUAAAUAAAAUAAAUAUCCAACCUCUCCCUAAAGCUCCACAGUUUUCAGAGAGACUCUGAAAGCUCACAGUUUCUCAAUUAUUGGCUCCUGUAAAAUCAAAAGUAAUUUAUAUGUUUUCUCACCCCAAGACUUAAGAACCAGGGUACAACUACAUUCAAAUCAAAGUAGAACUCCAAAUUCAACACUGCAAGAAGUUCAGUGCUUGAUGUCUGGGACCCAGUCAAGGUCCUCUGGGCUCCACAGAUGCUUGGUAAGUCUACUUUUCUAGCUCUGUCAUCCACAGGGCAUACAGCUUGUCUGCUGGGCUAAGGAUAGGUCUAAGCCACAGUUGCUGCUGUCCUUGGUGCUCUUGUGGUACUGGCAUCUCCAAAAUGAUGCAAGUAUGCUGAGCCUUCACUAAAAGCUUCUUCUGAGCUCUCUUCAGGGACUUUGACUCAGCCACGGGCUGCCAGGCCUUAGUUUCUCUCCAUGACUGCUUCGUACCUGAUACUUCAACUGAGUCUGCACAUUCACAGUGUCAAGUCUCAGCUACUCUCCAUGACCCUUCAUAUCUUCAAAUGCAGUACCACCUGGGAAACUCUUACAUAGUCUAUUACCACGUUCAGCUCCCAGCUGUACACUGAUCCUGAGGAAGCACUUUCCAGAAGAUUUUGCCUCAAUAAUGCAGGUGUCUUCUUAAUCACUGCUGGUUCUUCAGCCCUAGAUGACAAUUAUCAAUUGUUCUGGCAAAACAAAGAUUUCACUUUAGUUGUUUUGGUCUCUUGUUAGUCACAGUCCAAUCUUCAGCCUCAGAUGACCAGAACAACAGGUUCAUAGUUCAAAAUAUCAGUUUCUCAAAUAGAGUCUUUAAGGACCUGUGAAAGUUUCCAUUAAAAUUUCUCAAGCCAGGUUCCAUGGUCUGCAGACUUUAUUCCCACCAACAUCUCAUUCAGUGGCUUUUCUAAUCCAAAAUUCUAAACUCCUCCAUAAUCACUCCAAAACAACAUGCUCAGUUCUCUCACAGCAAUGCUGCUCUCCUGGUAUUGAUUUAUGUAUUAGUUACAUUUCUGUUGUUAUAAUAAAAUGCUGUGAGCAAAAGCAACUUGGGGACAAAGGGGUUUUAUCUCGCAACUCUCAGGUCAUAGUCUAUCAUUCAGGAAAAUCAGGGCAGGAAUUUAAGGUAGGAACCAAACAGAAGCUAUGGAGGAAUACUUCUUCUUUUUUUUUUUUUUUUCUUUUUUCUUUUUUUCGGAGCUGGGGACCGAACCCAGGGCCUUGCGGUUGCUAGGCAAGCGCUCUACCACUGAGCUAAAUCCCCAACCCCGGAGGAAUACUUAUUGGUUUGCUCAGCCAGAGCAGAAAUAAAUAUUUCUUAUACCAUCCAGGACCAGCUACCCAGGGGUGGCACUUUAAUCAGUGGGCAGGCUGUCCUAAAUUAAUAGAGAUCUCUUGGCUCUGUUUCUCAAGUGUUGGGAUUAAAUAUGUAUGCCACUACACUGGCUAUGACAUUGAUAUUUUCUAUAAUUACAGAUCAGGUUCAUAUAUCUAUUGUCUAUCUACUCUGUUUGCUAUUCCCUCUCACUUUCUCUUUUGAUAUUUCUCAUUUUUUUUAAAGAUUUAUUUAUUUAUUUUUAUGUACAGCAUUCUGCCUGCUUAUGUGACUGCAGGCCAGAAGAGGGCACCAGAUCUCAUUAUAGAUGGUUGUGAGCCACCAUGUGGUUGCUGGGAAUUGAACUCAGGACCUCUGGAAGAGCAGUCAGUGAUCUUAACCACUGAGCCAUCUCUCCAGCCCUUCUCAUUUUUUUUAAUGUUUACCCAUAAUUAGAUUUGGGUUAUGUGUAUUUGGCAUACAUUUGUAUAUCACUGCUAAUACACUGACCCUUUUAUGUUAUAUUCGUAGUUCCAUUUAUAAAUGAUACUAGUUUUUUUUUUUAUUUUAUUUUAUUUUUUUUUUAUUAUCUUGAGUAUUUCUUAUAUACAUUUCAAGUGUUAUUCCCUUUCCCGGUUUCCGGACAGACAUCACCCUCCCCCCUCCCCUUCCUUGUGGGUGUUCCCCUCCCAAACCUCCCCCCAUUGCCACCCUCCCCGCAUAGUCUAGUUCACUGGGGGUUCAGUCUUAGCAGGACCCAGGGCUUCCCCUUCCACUGGUGCUCUUACUAGGAUAUUCAUUGCUACCUAUGGGGACAGAGUCCAGGGUCAGUCCAAAUGAUACUAGUUUUAAUCAUUUAAGUGUUACAUGGAUUCUUUAUUAUAUGGGUACUACUUGCUACUUAGAACUAAUAAGCCAUUUAUAGGAGUGAAUUUUGACUAGUCUUUCUUUAAACAAAUGAUAAGACAACAUUAGAAGCAGCUAGAGUUAAGGUAGUUGAAGAAUUUAAAAAUCAUUAAAGUGAGACUUCACCAGAGAACAGAGAAGAGCUGAUGAAGAUAAGCUCCGGUGUUAAACUGUUCCUCAGACAUCUGUUAAACAAGUGUUCACACUGACCACCAUGCACUGACGCAUCUCUCCAGGAAAGAGCUUCAUCCAGAGUGUGCCUUAUGUAAUGUGUCAGUCAGAAGCAGUGAAGCUGCUAACUGAGUGAAGCCUGUCUUUGCACCUUCUGCCUUUAGAUAGAUAAUUGGCAAAGGUCUUAGAAAUGCAGAUGUUUUUCUGUGAACCAACAUGUUGAAAAUGGACCACAGGCUAAGAGCUGCAUAACACCGUACAGUGUUAUGCUGUCUGUUCUCACUGACAACCUCUAGAUAAUGACUGAAUAAUUGGGGAGGUGGGAUAGUCUCCCCCUUUUCUUUGCUAGGUAGAACAAAAGUCAUUUACCAGCAAAGCACUUUACCAAAUUGGUGACUUUUCAGUAAUAUACUGCAAGAUAUAAAAUGCUGCGUUGAGUUGAUGUUUAGUCCCUAAAAAAUUAAAAACUUUAGUGUAUAAUCCCAGCAGUGGGAAGUAGAUCAGAUCAAGGCUGCUCCCAGCUGUAUACAAGUUUGAGACUAGACUAGUUAUUUGAGACUUCGUCUCAGAAAAACAAAAGAAACAUAGUUUUGACAUUUCAAAAAAGAUUUAUCUUGAGGCUGGGGAGAUGGCUCCUGCGAUUAAGAGCUCUGUCUGCUUUUCCAGAGGACCCAGGUUUGAUUCUCUCACCACUUCAGUCAUAGGGGAUCACAUACCCUCUUCUGGCUUCCACAGGCACUUUCCACACAUGGUGCACAGGCAUACUUGCAGGCAAAGCACCAAUACAUAUACAAUUAAAGACAUUUAAAAAAGAGAUUUGUCCCAAUGAGGCUUGACUGGGUGAGAUCUUGAUCUCCUAGGAUUAUGCUAGCACACCCAGUGGCAGUUUUUCUCCACUCAACCAAAAGCACAAAUACUUGUUUUUCAGGUCAGAAUGACAGCAGCCCAGCAGCCAUAUGAGUCCUUUCUCUUUCUUUCUUUCUUUCUUUCUUUCUUUCUUUCUUUCUUUCUUUCUUUCUUUCUAUCUAUCUACCUAUCUACCUAUCUACCUAUCUACCUAUCUACCUAUCUACCUAUCUACCUAUCUAAUCUAUCUUCAGUGGUAGUGGAUUAAACCUGGCAGUCUUGCUCAUCCUAAAAGCAUACAAGCGGCUACUACUGAGAUAUAUACCCUUAGGCCCCUCACCCCUUAAUAAGUGGAAUGAGCUAUAAAUUCAUCCUCCUAUUUCUACUUUUAGUGUCAGAACAUUUAAAAAGGUAUGGGGUUGGGUGGAAAGAUGACCCAUUGGUUAAGAGUACUUACUGCUCUUGUAGAGGACCUGGGUUUGGUUCUUAGCACCCAUGUGAUAGGUUCAAUGUUCUGACUUUUAUGGGCACUGUGCAAUAUGGUGUACAUACAAACAUAAAAUUAAAUAAGGAAGUGUUUAGGCAGGAGUGGUGUGGUAUACUUUAAUCCCAGCACUUGGAGGCAGAGGUGGGCAGAUUUCUGAAUUCAAGGCCAGCCUGAUCUACAGAGCCAGUUCAAAAAUAGCUAGGGCUACAUACAAAGAAACCCUGUCACAAAAAAUUCACCCCCGCAAAAAAAGAACAUUUAAAAGGGUUUAGUUGAGUUCAUUGAGAAAUUGGACAUAAGCUUUUAAAAAUCUAUAAGAUUUGGAAAUACCCCUGUCCCUUGAACUUGAAGAGAAAUGAUUAGAAGAUCAUUUCCUAUUCUCUUUUUCUGUCACCUUUCCUUCCCAUUUGCCUACAUUUUUUCUUUACUUUCUGACAUUACUUUUAUGGAUAUCAUUAAUGUACUUAAGUGUACCAUUUAGAAAAGAGACAAAAUAUUGCUUUUGAGUAUCUUUGAUAUCAAAAAUGGGCUACAGAUAUGAGCAUUACUUUUGUAAACCUUAUCAGGUCAUAUUUUGUUAAGAAAACCGUGUCCAUUUAAAAGCAAAGAGAAAGGUAAAUAAGGAAAGAAAAGCAGACAGAGGCAGAUAGUAAGGAAGGACAGAUAGAGGCAAAAGUAAAGAACUUGGGGUAAGGGACCUGCUGUGGGAGAGAAUCCCUGAGAAUACAGAACCUCUAAGGUAGGAAACAGGAGUCAGGUCCAGUUUGGGUUUUCCCUUUCAGUGAGUGUGUUCUAAAGUGGGAUGAAGUGAGGUGCAUGCAACAUUCCCAUGCUUUAUUCAUUGGAUAUGCCGACGCAGAACUGAAGAGAUCCUCUAUAAUAAGGUGACUUGACAGACUGAUCCUAGUGGGUUAAGGUGAAAGAAAAUAUUAAGAGAUGUGUCUUGGCUGGCUAGCACCGACAAGGUUAUUUUUAACUUUCCCUUUCAGUCUUUUCAUUGUUCAUACUCCCUCACUAGCUACUAGGAGAGCAGUCAAAAUUAGCAACUAUAUAAAGUGAAGUCCUCUUGUCUCCCCAGUCACUUCCAAAAUAAACAGGGAGUAAUACUGUCCGUAUUUUGUCUCACUUUACUCUGAAGGCUAGCAAUAGAGGAAGCAUGGAUUAGUGUGUAGUGAUUUCUAGGCUCUGUCCUCUGGACGAAUUCCCCUUUGAGAGCUCCAGCUGAGUGACAGGACCAUGUGGCAGGCAGGAGUGCAGCUGGAAGUCUGUCCGGGCACAUUUGGAUUGGGUAAAUAUAGUAGGAGCAGGAUGUCAGUGUGGGAGAUGGAUUGUUCUGGGAAAGGAAGUGUUGUCUCUCCUCUGAGAAACAAUUUCCUGUACUUCUGGGACCUUUGCUUUCUUCUUCUUCCUUCUGAGGGCAGAAGAGGAGUUGGCAUGGGUUGGAUGCACUUGCUGAAUUCUGUCUCUGCUUGUCUGUCUCCUCCUACAUUUGAAGUUGGGUGUAAAAAUCAGAUCUAUUUCAAAAGUUAGGAAUAACCCAAUAAAUAGCCAUGUCCGUGACUUACAUUUCACCUCUUACAGUCUUACAAGCCCUCACCUGCUUAAAGUCCCUUUUAAAAAGUAACCAAUCUUUCCUCAAACCAGACAGGUUGAGAGGCAAAAAUAACCAUACAAAGAAAAUGAACGCUAUUGAAAGUCAGACAUGAAGCAGCAGCUGGCAGGAAACAGCUGGGGUGUUCAGGGAGCUAGACUCUACCACAGACCUUAACUCUUCAAGCUCUUUGUUAUCUGAGCUGCUAAGAAGGCUGCUUACCUACCAACACUCUGCAUUAAAAAACUAAAUCUGCGAGAGAUUAUAUAUUACAAUUAAAUGGAAUUUCAUGAAUUAUAAUUUUGCAUUUUUCAUUUUUAUUGGAUAUUUUCUUUAUCUGCAUUUCAAAUAUUAUCCCCCUUUCCUCUCCAGAAACCCCCAUCUCAUCCCUCCCCCUCCUGCCUCCAUGAAGGUGCUCUCCCAUCCUUCCACCCAUUCCCUCCUGCCUCCCCUCCGUGGCAUUCCCCUACACUGGGGCAUCGAGCCUUCACAGGACCAAGGGCCUCUCCUCCCAUUGAUGCCCGACAAGGCCAUCCUCUGCUAUAUAUGCAGCUGGAGCCAUGGGUCGCUUCAUGUACUCUUUGGUUGGUGGUUUAAUCCCUGGGAGCUCUGGGUUAUCUGGUUGGUUGAUAUUGUUGUUUUUCCUAUGGAGUUGCAAACCCCUUCGGCUCCUUCAGUCCUUUCUCUAACUCCUCCAUUGGUGAUCCCAUUCUCACCAAUGGUUGGCAGCAAACAUCUACCUCUGUAUUUGUCAGGCUCUGGCAGAGCCUCUUAGGGGACAACUAUAUCAGGCUCCUGACAGCAUGCACAUCUUGGCAUCCCCAAUAGUGACCGGGUUUGGUGACUGCAUGUGGGAUGGAUCCCCGUGUGUGGCAGUUUCUGGAUGGCCUUUCCUUCAGUCUCUGCUCCACUCUCAAUUAACAUAGAUAGAGAAACCAAGAUAUUCCAUCGACAAAAUCAAAUCUACACAUUAUAUUCAUACAAAUCCAGACCUACAAAGGAUAGAUAAUAGAUGAAAAAAAAAAAAAAAGCUCAACACAAAGAGGGAAACUACACCAUAGAAAAAGCAAGAAAAUAAUCUUUCAACAAGCCCAAAGAAGAUAGCCACACACACAUAAUUCCAUCUCUAACAACAAAAAUAACGGGAAACAACGAUCACUUUUCCUUAAUAUCUCUUAACAUCAAUGGACUCAUUUUUGCAUUUGAAAAUUCUUUGACUGGGGGCAGAGCUUAGUUGGUAGAGUGCUUCCCUAGCAUGCAUUGAGCUCUUGUUUCCAUUCUCAGCACUAAAAAGCUGGUACACCCUAUAAUCCUAAUGCUUGGGAGGUGAAGGUAGGAGGGUCAGAAGUUUGAAGUCAUCCUUUGCUGUAAUAGCAAAUUCACGGCCAACCUGGGCUAUGGAAGCCCUUGCCUCAAAACAGAAACCAUAAAAUUUAUGAAUGGAAUUGCUAGGUUAUGUGUUAAUUCUGUUUUCCUUCUUUUCAUUUAAAUUCUCAUAAGUACAGAAGGAUUCCAGUUUAUCUAUAUUUUCACCAGUACUUGUUUUUUUUUUUUUUUUUUUUCUAUUUUUCGGAGCUGGGGACCGAACCCAGGGCCUUGCGCUUGCUAGGCAAGCGCUCUACCACUGAGCUAAAUCCCCAACCCCUCACCAGUACUUGUUAUUUUAAGUAUGAUAGAUGUGGUGAUUUGAAUAGGCUCCCAUAGAUUCAUGUGUUUGAAUGCUUGGUCCAUAGGGAACAGUGUUAUUAGGAGUUAAGGCCUUGUGUGGUUUUGGAGGAAGUGUGUCACUGUGGGGGCGGGCUUUGAGGUCUCCUAUGCUCAGGCUACGUCUAGUGUGGCACACAGUCCCUUUCUGCUGCCUUUGGAUCAAGAUGUAGAACUCUUGGCUCCUCCAGCACCAUGUCUUCCUGGAUGCUGUCGUGCUUCCCAUCAUGAUGAGAAUGGACUAAACUUAUAAGGCUGCCCAAAUUAAAUGUUUCCUUUACUAAGAGUUGCCUUGUUCAUGAUGUCUCUUCACAGCAAUAAAACCCUAAGACAAUAGACAAGCACUCUACCCCAAAGUUAUAUCCCCUGUUUUUUUUUGUUUUUUUUUUUUUAAAGAUUUUUAUUUAUUUUACGUAUGUGAGUACACUGUAGAGUGAGUACACUGUAGCUGUCCUCAGACACACCAGAAGAAGGUUUCAGAUACCAUUACAGAUGGUUGUGAGCCACCAUGUGGUUGCCGGGAAUUGAACUCAGGACCUCUGGAAAAGCAGUCGGAGCUCUUAACUACUGAGCCAUCUCUCCAGCCCAUAUCCCAUGUUUUUAAAGAAUUAUUAUCAUAACUUCAAAAGCUUUUGAGAUCUGAUUGGACUUUAUAAUAAAGUUCUUUCCAGUUUUGUUCUCUUAGCAACAUCUUUCCUGAAGUAACUGGACUGUUCUUUGGGGCCCAGUGUUUUAAGGUUUUAGUUUUUGUGCCUAAGAAUUAAGAACGUGUCUUUUGGGUUAGGGGUAUAACUCAUUUCAUAGAGCACUUGCCUGUUAUGCCUGAGACCCUGGAUUCAAUCUCUUGCACUGAAAAACAGUAACAACAAAAGACUUUCCCACAGUUUGUAACAAAUAUUAUGAUUACAGCUUAAAUGAAAGUUCAGAGGGGUUGAAAUCUGACUUGCAAAAACAAGAAAAAGUUGCUGGACUUGAUGGCCCAUCCUUUUGAUCCCAGCAUUUGGGAGGCAGAGGCUGGUGGAUCUCUGUAAGUUCAAGGCCAGCCUGGUCUAAAUAUGAUUUCUAGGCCAGCCAAGUCUACAUAGUGAGACCCUGUUUUUUUGUUUUUUGUUUUUUGUUUUUGUUUUUUUUUUAAAAGGUUACAGCUAUAGUUUGUGUCUUGGGAUGGGAUGUUAUUUUUGGUUUUUUCUGUCAUUAGAUUCCUUGACCACAUCAUAGACCAAAUGUUGCUAUAUUACAGUCUCAGUUUGCUUGUAGAUAGAUUGCCACUUUAUCUGCCUGCUUAUAAAAUCAAUCUCUUUUUCAAAUUGGUGGUAGUGGUAGGGAUCAAACUCAGGUUCUUGCAUAUGCACUGAACUAAAAUGCACUGUCUUGGCCCCAGAAUAACCUAAAGAGGGAGUUAAUUCCUUUUCUGAAGUGUGAUUGGUACUAUAUUUCAGCUGUUACUACUGUUUGGGUGUGUGGGUGGGUGGGUGGUGGUGGUGCGUUGUCAAAGGUAGACCCUAGGACCUACCAUAGUUAGUGCAUUCUUACCACUCUGUUCUAUCUUUGGCUCUUCCACCACUACUUAUAUUAAAACUCUAGCCAGGUGUAGUGUUGCAUGUCUACAGUUCUAGGUGGGAAGCUGAGGCAAGGAGUUUGUAACAAGUUCAAAGCUAGCCUGAUUAGGUUCGUCAGGGCUACAUAGUGAAACCUUAUCUCCAAAGUGAAAGAGAAGAGGAAGAAAGGAAGAAAGGAAAAAGGAAAAAAGAGGGAAGCACACUAGAACUACUGGUUCUUUGCUUUUCUUUAGAAAUAUGACUUUCAUAGCAGUGUAUUUUCCAAUUUACAUGUUGAGUGAUAGAUUUUUCUAACCUUUAGAAAGAUUUUUUUAAAGUACUUAGUAUUUGUUUAUACUUCCUUAAAAUACGGUAAUCACAGAAUAUACUCACGUAUUUAAUAACACUAUUGGUUGCUUUUUUUGUUGUUCAGUAAAUUUGAGCCAGUUUCAAAGUACAUAGAUGGUAGUCACUGUAAUGUCCCUUCACUAUCAGUACAUUAGGUGUUGGGUUACGAAUGCAUUCUAACCAUUUGAUCAAAGUCAGGCUUUGAAUAAGUCAGGUGUGGUGAAUGACAGGUAUGUCUGGAUUUGGUCUUGAGAGAUUUGGGCUGUGGAAAGCAUAAGAACCACUACCCCCUUUACGUAAUGUACUGUGGUCUGUAAUAGGUUGAGUUGUAACAUUCAUUAAACCACUCCUCACAUUCCCUGUUUUCAAAGCUUAUCAGGAUGAGUUUGAUUUAGUUAUUUGGAACCAGGACGGCAGCUCGUGGAGCUAGAUUCAGAGCUGUGUGGCUGUAAUAUAUGAGAGAUCAGACUCAGGUCCCAGUGGGAUUACUCCUUGGCUUUAUUUGCCUGGAAGUAUACACAGGAGCCCAGUGGUAUGUAUGGAAAGCUUUGCUGGAAUGCAAAUUGGACACGUUUUGUCGGGACCUGUAGGGGAUUUUCACUGCUCCAUAAUUUUUCAAAGGUUUGUUAUACAGCAGACACUACUGCCUCUUCUUUAAAUCUGUAAAUCCCCCUCUUUUUCCUGUUCUAAAGGUCAGAUUUUUUUUGACAACUGUGUGCAGGAACAAGAUUUGCUAAAUCCCUUCAUUUUUAUUCAUACAAAUAUCAGAAUUCAGUGAACAUCAGUUAUACAGCAUUUAGAGGUGAGGAAAACUCAGGGAGAAUCUUGCGAAUCUCAACUUAGUGUCAGGCAUAUGUCUCUGGGGAUAAAUUUGCUGCCUCAACUUUAACCCAUAACUGAUCUGAUGAGAGACAGACUUCUCAAUGUGGCUUCCUUGUAUUCGAAACCUAUCUUUAAUUAAUCCCAUGUCUGGAGAGGUAGAAGAAAAGUAAUCUAAUUAGUGGGAGGAUAUUGUUUUGGGCCUUACUCAUAGAGUCUCUUUGACUCUGACAGUGCUUAGACUAGUAUUGGGAAAGAUAGUUAAUUCCUUCCAACAAAGCCAUUUCUUUAUUCUUACUUAACUUUUAGUGAUACAUCACUUAGGCAUUUUCAUUUGAAGAUGAUUAUUUUUUAUUCCAUUUAUUUGUGUGUGUGUGUGUGUGUGUGUGUGUGUGUGUGUGUGUGUGUGUGUUUACAACAGUGCAUGCAUGGAGGUCAAAGGCUGAUUUGUGAGAUACACUUCUCUCUUUCUAUUUGGGUCCCAAGAAUUGAACUCAGGUUGUUAGGAUUAGAGGCAGGCACUUAUCUGCUGAGGCAUCUUCCCAGUCCAGAUGAUUCUUUCUUACCUAAUAGUUCAUCAGACAGUCAUAUUAUCACACAGCAUAGUUUUCUAUCAAACUCUAGUUUGAUAUUGUGUUGUCUAUUAUUGUAUAGCAAAGUACCCAAAAAAUAGCAACUUUUAUUUUUUUCAGAAGUUUCUGGGAGCCAGGAAUUUGGGGACUACUUAGCUAGUGGGUAUUCUUUUAAGAUACCAGUCAGGGAGAUAGCAUUUGAAGGCAGGAUUGAACUGGAAGACUUGUUUCCAAGCUCACCAUGGCUGUUGGCCAGAGGCCUCAGUUCUUCAUAAUGUAGACUUCUCAGCACUGCUAACAUCAUGGAAGCUGGCUCACCCUGAGGUAUAUAGUUUAGGAAUGACAGAGUGAAAAUAGAAACUUAAAGAUAUAUAUGUAUGUAUGUUUGUCACUGGAAGUCAAAUUAGAGCCUCAUGCUUUCAUGCUAAGCACAUGCUUUAUCACUAAGCUAUAUCCCCAGUCCAGAAGCCACACUUGUUUAUUGUUUGAUGAUUUCAUGCAUGUAUAUAAUGUUUUGAUUAACAACCCCCCCCAUUUUCUCCCUUAUUUCCCACUACUUCUCCCUCCCAACUUUAUGUUUUGCUUUUGUUUGUUUUUGACAUGGGGCCUUACUAUGUAGCCCUGGAUAACACUUGACUUUGCCCCCCCAGGUACUUGGAUUAAAGGCCUAUGCCACAUACCUGGUUUGUGUGCUCUUUAAAAGAUUUAUUUAUUUUUAUUUCAUGUGCCUGAAUGUAUGUAUGUAUACUUGUGUACAGUUGCCCUCAGAGGCUUGGAAGAGAGCAUUGAAUCCCCUGGAACUGGAGUUAAUGGUGAAUGUGAGCUAUUUGAUAUCAAUGCUGGGAACUAAACUGGGGCUCUAGAAGAGCAGCAAUGGCUCUUUUUCUUUUCUUUUUUCUUUUUUUUUUUUUUUUUUUUCUGGAGCUGAGGAUCAAACCCAGGGCUUUGUGCUUCCUAGGCAAGUGCUCUACCACUGAGCUAAAUCCCCAACCCUAGCAAUUGUUCUUAAUUGAUGAGCCAUCUCUCCAACCCAUGGGCUCUUCUAAAAAAAAAAAAAACAUUGAGUACAGUUAGUGCUACCAUAGGCACAAGUCUAUCUUCUGGAGCAUGGGUAGCAUUUCCAAGGCCACAUCCCUGAAGAAAACAAACCGUCUGUCUCCCAGCACACAUCAAUGGCCAAUAGCUCCUUAUCUAAGAGUGGGGCUUUAUUUGUCUCUCCCUCCCUCACGAACGCUAAGAUCUUGGUGCAUAUAGUCAAAACUGCUGUGAGUUCAAGUGUCAGGAAAAGUUUCACUACUUCUGGUUCAUGAAACCCCUCCUUAAGGAUCCAGGAGCCUUGUAGGAAGAAAUCAUACUUUUAUUUUCUUUAAAAAAUAUUUUUGUUUCAGGCACAUGCUUUUAAACCCCACACUUAGGAGGCAGAGGCUGAGAGAUAUCUGUAAGUUCAAGGCCAGCCUGGUCUAACAGAAGAAGUUCCAGGACAGCCAGGGAUACACAGAUAAAACUUGUCUUGAUCCCCUCUCCCCACAAUGUGUGUGUGUGUGUGUGUGUGUGUGUGUGUGUGUGUGUGUGUGUGUGUGUGUAUCCACAUGUAUGUGAAUAUGGAUACCCAUGCAUGCAUGGGGAAGAUGUUAGGUGCCCUGCUUUAUCAUUUUCCACUGUAAGAUUAAGGUUUCUGUUGAACCUGGAGCUAGGCUAGCAAACCCUGGUUAUCUUGUCUCUAUCCUGUUAGUGCUGGAGUUUCAGGUGCACACGUAACCACUCUUGGCUCAGACACUCACGAUUGUUUCCCCAGUGAGCCAUCUCCCAGCCCCAUAUUUUAAAAUAUUAGAGGAGAGUAUCUCAUAACAAAGGCUUUCUUUAAACCUUACAUAGCCAACAAAAGACACCCUCCUUCCUCUGCUUCCAAAGUGGCAAGGUGACAAAAUUUUUCCUCACCUUGUUCUCUAUGCUGUGCUGAGGAUCAAACUCAGGGCUUUGUGCACACAUGGCAAGCACUCUAUCAGUGGGGUAUGUGCUCAGCCCAACAUGAAUUCUUUUUGGAUAUUAUCUCAGAGCUCCAGAAUAGACAUUAAAGUCUUUCUUCUUUUUGUUUUUCUCCUCUUCCUCCUCUUCUUUCUUUUUUCUUCCUUUCUUUUCUUCUUUUUUUAAAAUUGGGUAUUUUCUUUACUUACAUUUCUAAUGUUAUCCCCUUUCCUGAUUUCUCCUCUGGAAAUCCCCCUAUUCUUUCCCCUCUCCCCCUGCCUCCCCUUUCCCCAUCCACUCCCUCCCAUCUCCCUGCCCUGGCAUUCCCCUACACAGGGGCAUUGAGGUUUCACAGGGCUAAGGGCCUCUCCUCUCAUUGAUGCCCAAUAAGGCCAUCCUCUGCUACAUAUGUGGCUGCAGCCAUGGGUCCCUCCAUGUGUUCUCUUUGGUUGGUGGUUUAGUCUCUGGGAGCUCUGGGAGGGGUCUGGUUGGUUGAUAUUGUUGUUCUUCCUAUGGGGUUGAAAACUCCUUCAGCUUCUUUAGUCUUUUUUUCUAACUCCUCCAUUAGGGACCUUGUUUUCAGCCUAAUGGUUGGCUGCUAGUAUGUACCUCUGUAUUUGUCAGGCUCUGGCAGAGCCUCUCAGGGUACAGCUAUAUCAGGCUCCUGUCAGAAUGUACUUCUUGGCAUCCACUAUAUAGUCUGGGUUUGGUGACAGUAUAUGGGAUGGAUCCCCUGCUGGGGCAGUCUCUGAAUGACCUUUCCCUCAGUCUCUGCUCCACACUUUGUCUCUGUAGUCCUCCUGUGAAUGUUUUGUUCUCCCUUCUAAGAAGGACUGAAGCAUCUACUCUUUGGUCUUCCAACUUCUUGAGCUUCAUGUGGUCUGUAGAUCGUAUUUUGGGUAUUCAAAGCUUUUGGGCUAAUAUUCACAUAUCAGUGAGUGCCUACCAUGUGUGUUCUUUUGUGAUUGGGUUACCUCACUCAGGAUGAUAUUUUCUAGUUCCAUCCAUUUGCCUAAGAAUUUCAUGAAAUCAUUGUUUUUUUGUUUGUUUGUUUGUUUUUGUUGUUGUUGUUGUUGUUGUUGUUGUUUUCUUUUAUUCGGAGCUGGGGACUGAACCCAGGGCCUUGGGCUUGCUAGGCAAGCACUCUACUACUGAGCUAAAUCCCCAACCUGAAGUCAUUGUUUUUGAUAGCUGAGUAGUACUCCAUUGUGUAAAUGUGCCACAUUUUCUGUAUCCAUUCCUCUGUGGAAGGACAUCUGGGAUCUUUCCAGCUUCUGGCUAUUAUAAAUAAGGCUGCUAUGAACAUAAUGGAGCAUGUGUCCUUGUUAUAUUUUGGAGCAUCUUUUGGGUGUAUGCCCAGAAGUGGUAUAGCUGGGUCCUCAGGUAGUACCAUGUCCAAUUUUCUGAGGAACCUCCAGACUGAUUUCCAGAAUGGUUGUACCAGCUUGCAAUUCCACCAACACUGGGGGAGUGUUCCUCUUUCUCCACAUCCUCGCCAGCAUCUGUUGUCACCUAAGUUUUUUAUCUUAGCCGUCCUGAAUAGUGUGAGGUGGAAUCUCAGGGUUGUUUUGAUUUGCAUUUCCCUAAUGACUAAGGAUGUUCAACAUUUCUUUAGGUGCUUCUCUGCCAUUACUGGAUCUUACUAUAUAGCCCAGACUAGCCUCUAACACAAAGUAGUUGGAAGUGCUAAAUGCUGCCAGUGUGUGUGUGCACCUGUGCAUGCGUGCAUGUGUGAGUUGCCCCAGGAAUUGAAUCUAGGGCCUCAUUUAUGCCUGGUAAGCACUGUACAAGUUGAACUUUACCUUUAGCCUGCUGUGGGGAUGUUUUGGGUUCUUACAUGCAUCACCUAGUUAUUGAAAUAUAGAAAUAACAGGUCAUGGAUGAGUCUUUUGCUCAGAGUGCUCAUGGUAGCAGUGAGUGUGGAGAAUAGGCAAUCCAAGAUGUAAGAAGGGUAGAUGAGGACAAGGCUGACACAGACCUAUAAAUACCUUAAGGUCUCAUUUAGUGCUUUGAAAUAGUAAUUAGGUCAUAUUUAUUGUCUUCUCCAAGUUAUUUAUUGGUUGGCUCUGAAGACAAGGCAUUAGGACUUUUGGAGAAAAUGCUACUGUCUGGGACUCACAGAGACUGGAUAGAGUGCUGGGAUGUGGCUCAGGUAGUAGAGUGCUUUCCUGGUGUUCACAAGGCUGUACAGUUUUCUAGUACCUCACAGACCGGGCUAGAAAACUUCCAUAUAUAUAUAUAUGAGAGAACAACGGAAUUUUGUGUUUAGACUUGUGUCCUAUCCCCAAGGUAUCUUACUCUGUCAACAAAUGUAUUCCAAAAUCUGAAAAAAAAAAAGAGAAUUCUAGUCUCAAAUAUUUCAAAUAAAAGGUAUUCAUUCUGUAAUAAUGUUUCAAAGUAUGGUUUCAGUUAUUCUCAAUAAACUAAUGCAUUGCUAUUAAAAAGAAAUAAAUACAUACCAAAUAGUAUAGCUGACUGUUAGUUUGCGCUGCUUUAUUCUGUUCUGGUUAGUUUGAACUGUAGAAGAAGAAUAAGGCCAGAGAGAUCAUGGUUAGAGCAAGAUUACAUAGUUCAUUAGCUGAGAAAGCUAGAAUUUAGGUCUGCCAAUUCUUUGUCAGUUGUUGAAGCUUCUGAGAAAAUUGCUGAUCUGACUCAAAUGAGAAAAUGGGGGUUUGGAGACUGGAGAGAUAACUCAGAGUUAGGAGCACUUGAUAGCCUUUUGGAACCAUACUCUGUUUCCCUGAAGAACCUAUUUUUGUUAAGCCUGAUAGUGGUGGUGCAUGCCUUUAACUAUCAGCACUCAGGAGACAGGUGGGUUUCUGAUUUGAGCUAGCCUGGUCUGCAGAUCAAGUUCCAGGAUAGCCAGAGAGCUAGACAGAGAAACUCUGUCUCAAAAACAAAACAAACGAAAAAGCACCCUCUAAUUUAUUUAUUUAUUUAUUUAUUUUUUGGUUUGGUUUCUGAAACAAGGUCUUGCUCUGAAAGCCCAGCUUUCCUGAAAUUCACUCUGUGGCACAAGUUGUCCUUGAACUCAAUCCUAUUGGUUUAGCCUCUAGAGUUGUGGAGUUACAGGCAUAUGCCAAUAUCUGGCUGUAAGAACACCAACAUUUUAUAAGCAAAUUUUCCAAAAAGUCCGCUGAGGUCCAUAUUAUAUAUAUUAAUAUUUAUAUAUAAUAUAAAAUGCAUACUUUUAAUAUAUUUUUCCUCUAGGUCUCUACAUUUUGGGACAAAUACUGCCUUAAAAUUGAAUUGAGUAGGGCUGAAGAGAUGGCUCAGCAGUUAUAAAUGUUUGCUGCUCUUCUAGAGGACCUGAAUUUGAUUCCCAGCACCCAUAUUGAGUAGCUCAGCACAGGGUCAGAAACGCAAAAGCCAGGUGAUCGUGUCAUUGCAGUUCCAGGGGAUCUGAUACCCAUUCUGGCCUCCACAGUACCUGCACACAUGUGGACAGAUUUAAAAAAAAUGAAUAAGUUGAGUACCUGAAAUCAACGAGUUGAAACCAAUAGUUUUAAAAUACAUUCUAGGGGCUGGAAAGAUGGCUCAAUGUUUAAGAGCAUUGACUACUCUCACAGAGGACCAUGAUUUGAUUUCCAGCACCUACAUGGUGGCUCACAACCAACUGUAAUUCCAAUUGCAGAGGACCAAAUACCCUCUUCAGGCUCUGUGCAUUGUACAUGUUGUGCACAAAUAUUCAUUCAGGCAAAACACUGAUAACACAUAAAAUAAAAAUGAAUAAAAUCUUACAAUUUUUAAAAAUUUAAGUAUUUCUAGGCUUAGCAUAGUAACAUAUGCCAGUAGUCCUGUGGUUGAAGAGAUAAGAGGCAGGGGGAUGAGUUCAAGCCCAGUCUGGACUGUAUUGGGAGACUGUCAAUAAAAUAGAAAGUUAAAUCCCUUACCUAAAAUUAACCAUGAGUUUAUCUGUAUUUAUUAUUUAUAGAUCCAGCUAUACAGGUUGCAUCAUGUAUGAUAGCAUCGAAUCUCUUUUUAAUAAAAUGUCUUUUAUACUCUUGGCAGGGAUCAGGCUAUCUAAUAACUUAAUUAAGUACCGACAUAUUUUUAGUAAGUACUUAAUUUGGCAAGAUUUUAUUGGUCUUAUGUAAUAUAGAUGACAAUAUUAUAUGUCAGGCAGUUUACAUAUAUCAUCUCACUUAAUCUUUUCAAGAAUAUUUCAAAAACCAGCAAGGCGGCUUAACAAGUGAGAACACUUGCCAUGUAAAUCUGACAAGCUGAGUUGUCACAUGUUGUCAUGACUGAAGAGGUGAUUGACUCCCAAGUUGUCUUCUGACCUCCAUGCUUGAGCUUUGAGCUCCACCCCUUCCUCAUCAACCACAUCUGUUUACAAGGAAGGUAUUUCAGGAUAGUACUGUGACCAUUUAUAGUAGGCUUCAGUAGGGUCCAAAGCAGGGAGGACCUGAGGCAACAUCUUUGUAAGUGGCAGGAUGGGGCUCUGAGUAUGCUUUUCACUGAUACAGUUCCUGCACUUGCCUCUUUCUCCUGAGGGCAUGGAAUUACUGACAGAAGACAAACUAGUCUCAGUCUUAUUUUUGGCAAAUAUGAAACUCUUAUCCUGUGGUUCCACAAGAAUUCUUGAUGUUUCAAUGGAGAUCGUAGGCUGCUGUCUCUUUUCUGAGAACCUAGGACAAUAAGUAAAAACCGGCAGAGCAAGUAAGAGUAUAGGUUCUGGACUAGAGGCAUGCAGAUCUGGUUUUGAAUAGCAGUCUCCCCUAGAUGGCUUUCGGCAGACUACUUAACCAUAGCCUCAGUGCUUCAUUUGCAAAAUAGGGACUAUGUGGAAUACAACUUAGCAGUAAGGGUAUAUGGUGACAUAUAUACUGGUGACAUAUGUUUAAGCUUGUCUAGAGCUCAGAUCCAAUCUGAUGAGUGACUGACUGACUCUGGCCGAAUGGUACUCUGACCAGGCAAAGCUAUAGAAAAGGGAACAACACAGCAGGGAACAGGCUCCCCAUGAAGCCUCACUUCAAUCCUGUGGAAAGAGAGUGCUGACUGUGACAAGCUGUCCUCUGACCUCCAUGUACAUGCCCUACACACAAAUAAAUUGAAUUCAAAAGUUAAAAAAUCUAAAUAAUAAAUAAGUAAAAAAAAAAAACAAAACAGGUUACUGUAUAUUUAAACAGCAGCAUUGUCCUAUAGUCAGCAGAAGGUAGCAAACGAUGUCAUUGUCUGCUCACACCUGUCCACAAUAGCUUUUCUGACUUCCUACCUGCACAGAUGUAGAAGUGAGACCUAAUGUGAUUCUUUCUUAUGAUGGGUUCUCCAUAAACCCUGAUAUUCAUGCACCUACUCCACUUUAACCUCAGCCUAUAUUUCCAUAGCUGUAGGAUAAAGAUAGGUAAAAGAUAAUGACUACCAAGGGAUUGUGAAGGGACUGAAACUGUUCUACGGCUUCAUUUUGGUAGUGUUUACAGGAACCUAUAUAUGUGUUAAAAUUAACAGAAAAUCUGUUCUACCCUUCAAAUCAGUUUACUGUGUGUUAAUUUAUAAAACAAAUUAAGCAAGAUGUGGUAGUGUAGUCCCAGCUACUCAAGCGGCUAAGAUGGGAAGAUCUCUUGAUCCCAGGAAUUUGAAACUAGUCUAGGAAACAGUGAGCUCUCAUCUCACUAAAUAAAUAGCUGGAUGUAGUAGUGUUCAUUGUAAUUGCAGCUCUCAGAUGGAGGAGGUAGAAAGAUGAGGAGCUCAGAGUAAUCCUUGGUUAGUGAGUUCAAAGCCAGCCUGAGUUACUUAAGAGCAGGUCUCAAAAAAACAAAAAUCAUGAAAGGGCUGGAGAUGUAGCUCAUUGGGAGUUUGCCUAAUAUGCUCAAAGUUCUGGGUUCAAUUCUUAAUAAGACAUAAACUAGAUAUGGAGGUGUUAGCCUCUACUCCUAGCACUUGGGGGAGGUAGACUGGUAGAUCAGAAGUUCAAAGUCAUGCUUGGCUACAUAGAAAGUUUGGGGUUCUAAAAAAAUUCUUAAAUAUAAAAAAAUCAACUUAUCCAUAAAAAUGAGUAUAUUAAAAUAGACAGUGGUAAAAUUUUUACUGUUUUUUUUUUACUUUUUGAGAUUUAUUAUUUUAUUUGUGUAUGUUUUAACAGAAUGUAUGUCUGUGUCCUAUGUUGGUGCCUAUGUGGCGGUCAGAGAAGGAGUUAGAUCUCCUGGAAGAAACUGGAGUUACCAAUGGUUGUGAGCCAUUACAUGGGUAACUGGGGACCUGGACCCUUCGCAAGAGCACCAAGUGUUGUAAACUGCAAUCUCGUCUCUCCAGCCUUUUUGUUUGUUUAUUUUUUAAAAAAACAUUUUAGAUCUAUUUGUUUUAUGGUUAAAUUUUUUAUAAGAUCAUUAUAAAAAAUAAAAAUAAGAUAACAUAAAUAGAAUAGUAUCACAGUGCAUACCAGGUAUGUAGUAUAUAUUAAGUAUUUGUGUUAUUUUUUGACAUUAUUAAAAGUAUUUUUAAAUGUAGCGACAUUCAUUGAAAGAAUGGGGAAAUAAAGUCCCAUCCCGUCCACAUGAAUAUAGUCUGUGAAGUGUCCGAUGGUGUAUGUCUUCACAUGACUUGGCCAAGGCCUGAGGUCUGCAAGGCUCCAUGCAGCUUUUCUGAAAUGGCAGCUGGCUUCUCUUUGCUCUGCAACAAAGGAGUAAACCAGUUCUGGUCUCAGAAGCUUCAGCCUCCUUCCCCGGCUUCAGAUCACUCUGCAGUCUGGAUCGACCAAAUUGGUUAAAGCAGGAGCUGGAAGUGUUUCUCAUCCUCAGAAGGUGGAUCUGCCUUUAUAUGACAGCUGCCGCCCCACAAGCCAUGUCUUUCUGCUAGCCACAGCUUUUAAGUCAGACGGGGACAAUGGUAGGCAAACAUUGCUCAAAGUUGUUUCAGUUUUGUUGUUGACAUUAUAGUUAUACCAGCAAUGAAAAAGAAGUUGUGAGGUAAAUUUUUAAAAUAUUUACUUUUAAUUUUUUUUAUUACAUCUGUAAAUGUAUGUCUGUGUGUGGGCAUGAUCACAUGGGUACACUCUGAGAUCAGAGACAGUUAAGUCUCCUGGAGUUGGAGUUACAGACAGUUAGCCACUUAGUGUGGGUGCUGGGAAUUGAACAUGGGCCCUUUGCAAGACCAGUACUUGCUCUAUAACCAUUAAGCCAUCUUUCCAAUCCCAUAAAGCAAAAUCUUGACUUAUUCACCCAGUAGGAUGGUUGUCUUCUCUAGAAGCUCAGACUCUGGAUCAAAUAAGCAGAACUGACAGCAUGUGAGGUAUAGAGUCAAGUAAACAUCUGCUGUACCACGUUUUGGGGAUUCCUCAUAUGCUUUGCCUGGGCAUUAUUUAUUUUUUCCUUAUAGGCCCUGCAUAUAUACUAUGUUUUCCAGUGUUGUAUUUUUAUGGGAUUUCAGGAUUUCUGUAUGUGUGAACACGAGUGUCCCUCUUUGGCUUUUUUUUUCUUUUUGCUUCAUCAAAUUCCAGUUUGUUUUCAUUUAAUCUUACUUAAAAAUUAUUGGGGGGUUGGGGAUUUGGCUCAGUGGUAGAGCACUUGCCUAGCAACCACAAGGCCCUGGGUUCGGUCCCCAGCUCCGAAAAAAAAAGAAAAAAAAUUAUUGUUAUAUAAUUAUUAUUAUAUAAUGCCCGUUUGUAUUCUAAAAGAAAGAAUAUGGAUUUGGGUGGGUGGGGAGUUAACUGAGUGAGGCUCUGGUAGGAGUUGGCGGGGGGGGGGGGACCAUAAUCAGAAUUUAGUGUAUGAAAAAAUAGAAAUGCAUACCAAGGAGAAUUAUGCUAAUAUAUGACCUAUUAAUGGAAGGAACUGGAUUAAAGAUUUGAAAAUAGUUCUGUUGGCUAUUGUUCUAUUGGUUGUGGUGGCACACACCAGUCAGAUAUGCUGAGGAGGCAGAAGCAAAAGGAUCACAAGUUUGAGGCCAGCCUGGCUUUACCUUUAAAAGAUCCUGCUGUGCCUGAGGAAGAACAUGCCAAGCUUUAAGGUGCCCUAAGACUCCUCUUAGCAUACCCUUCGCAGCUCAUAGCACACAGAAACCUAGAUCCCCGGCUGUUAGGUCAUUAGUGAAUUCAGUAACUAUCUCACUGAGCUCUGUAUCCAGUAUUCUGAACUCUAUCAACAUUGUUUUGUGAUACCAUUUUGUGGUACCAGACAUAGAACUCAAGGCCCCAGCAACCUUUUUCUUUUUCUGUCUUUCUUUGUUUUUUUUGUUUUUUGUUUUUUUUUUCUUUAAAGACAAGGUUUCUCUGUGUGGCCCUGGCUGUCCUGGGACUUGCUCUGUACACCAGGUGGAUGGUGUUCGACCAUUUUCAAAAAUGUAUGUAACUAUACCUGGAUACUUUCUACUUGUGUUAUGUAAUUAUUAAAUAAGUUUAUGAGGUUGGGUUGAGCUUUUUCUUUAUGUUACAGAUAUGGAAAUAGAGGCUUAAAAAGUUUUUAAUUUCCUAUGAUCAUAUUAGAACUAAGAUUUGAAUCUAGUUUUUCUGACUUCUAAGUUACAACUUUUAGAGAAUAUAGUUAGAUCUCCACCUAGAUAUAUGAUUGAGUUACUUUUUAUUUAAUUUUAUUUAUAUUUUUACUUGUUUACUUUAUAUGGCACUCAUUGCCUCCUCCUCAGUCAUCCCCUCCCAGAAUCCUUCCCUCAUCUCCUCUUCCCCUGAGCAGAUGGGGCCCCCAGGUAUGAUUGAAUUAUAAAGAAAUCCAUGGGGGGCUGGGGAUUUAGCUCAGUGGUAGAGCGCUUACCUAGGAAGCGCAAGGCCCUGGGUUCGGUCCCCAGCUCCAAAAAAAAAAAAAAAAAAAAAAAAAAAAAAAGAAAUCCAUGGGACUGGAGAGAUAGAUAAUAGCUCAUGGGUUACUUAAAGGCACUGGCUGCUCUUAUAGAGGACUUAGAUUCAAUUCUCAGCAUCUACAUGGUGCUUUAUGACUGUCUGUAAUUCCAGUCCUAGGGGAAUAUAAUACCCUCUCUGGACUCCAUGGCACCAGCCAAAAUGUUCUUGCACAUAAAAUAAAAAAAAUAAAAUUUGAAAAAUAAAUAAACUAAAUUUAGCAUAGUGACCCAUGUCCUUACUCGAAGCACUGAGAGACAGAGGCAGGUAGAGUUUUAGGUCAGCCUGGUCUAUAGGGCAAGUUCCAGGACAGCCAGGCUACAGAGAUAUCCUGUCUCAAAAAUAAAGAAAUUAAUUAAUUUAGAAAAGAAAUAAACUGAUUGUAAAUAUAUACAAAAGGAGCAAGGUUUAGGUCAAUAUAUAUUGAGGGUAGAGUCUUAAGUUAUAUUUCAGAUUUCACUUUGCCUAGUAUAUAUUCCAACCUAGAAGGGGGAUAUCUACUGUUUUCUGAAUACUUGCUUUAGAGCUAACAGCCUCACAAUCAUAGUCAUCAUCAUAUGGGACUUUAGAAGACAAAAUCAUAGGAUUCUAAAAGUAAAUAUAAAAGUUAUAGCUUUGUAUGGUAACACAUCUGUAAUUGCAGCACUAGGAGGCUGAGGCAGGAGGAUUGCCUCAAGUUUGAAGUCCGCCUCUACUACAUAAUGAAUUAAAGGCCAGCCUGGGCUACUGUAUGAGACCCUAUCUAAAAACAAGAAACAAAACAAACAAAACCCCCAAAUCCCUAACAAAGAAGACUUUGACUACUGUAGACCUUGACUACUGCUGGGCACUUGUGGUGUGGUGCACACCUUUAAUCCAGCACUCAGAAGCAGAGGCGGGCAGAGCUCUGAGUUGGAGGCUAUAGUGUGAGUUCUAAAACAGCCAGAGUGAUACAGAGGAAACAAACAAACAAACAAAAAACAAAAACAAAAAGAGCUGGGCAGGCAGAUGUGGUGCAUGCCUUUAAUAUCUACACUCUUGAGAAACCCUGUUUCAAAAAUCUAAAACAAAAAAACAUGUAUACUCACACCCCUCCUCUAGACUACUGUGCAUGGUUCUAGCUAGAAACUUUUUGUUUUUACCUUGAAAUUUUUUUCUUUUACUUUGAAAAUUUUUGAUCUGGAACAUAGCUCCAUGAUAGAAGAUUGCCUAGCAUAUGUUUGAGUCCUCUGCACCACAACAUUUAAAAACCUGAAAAAAAUUUCCAGAGAAUCCUGUUUUAGAACAUUGUAAUUCAAGAUCAUCUUUGUCAUAUAUUUUAAUUUUUAAAUUAUUUAUGUGAUGGUGGUAGGGAUGGAUUGCACACCAGUGUGUGAAUAUGAAGGUCAUAGUUCUUUCCUUCCACCAUGUGGGUCCCAGGGAUCAAACUCAGGUCAGCAACCUUGGCAGCAAGCACCUUCGUUUCCUUGAAAUCAGAAAAGGGUGUUGGAUCCCAUGAAACUAGAGUUAGAGACUGUUUCAAUCUGCCAGGUGGAUGCUGGGAAUUGAACCCAGUCCUUUGAGAGAACACCCUAAGCCAUCAAUCCAGCCCCCAGGCUUAGAUUCUUGAAUUAGAUCUAAAGCUGGUCUUGUUUCUUCAUUUAGUAAGUCACUGACCUGCAAACUGGACCACAUGUCUGAAGUGUGGACAGCAGGUAAGUGCUGACAUUUUGAUGGCCACAUCAUGUUUCAAGGAUCUAUGAGAAGGCCUAUAAUGACCACACAAAGCUAGCCAAGAAUCUCCUUGCCAUGGACAAAUGGGAGAUGUUACUAAGUUUAGCUGACAUUAAGCUAUAAAUUAUUUGAAAGGUGGAAAUGGAUUCUCCUCAGAGGCUAUGUAGAAUUUUCAUUUAGUAUCAGGCACAUGUGUUGUAGGUGUUUUUGUCCUAGGAAAUAAAUUAUUAUCUUUCUUCUUACAUAUUUUUCUACUAUAUUGGGAAAAUACAUAUGUAAAAAAUUUAUAGUUGCUAUGUUUUGCCUAUAUAGUAGAAAUAUAGAAAAUAUAGCUACUAUAUUUUCCCAAUAUAGUAGAAAUACAUAGAAAAUAUAUAUAAUAUAUAGAAAUUAUAUAAAAAUCCAAUCUAUUUUACCAAUAUAACAUUAUAAUGCAGUUACUAUAGCUCUAUUAGGACCAGUACAUUAGUAGUUCCUGUUGGUCUUAGGUAUGAAAGCCUCACUUACCCAAAGUAAUACAUACAUCUAUGACAAAGUCUGGUCUAUAAUCUUAGUACUUCAGAUGUUUUUUAACAUACCUAAUGGCACUCCUCAGUUAGUGGUUAAAACCCUCCACAUUAUGAAUCCAGUCUUCAUACUUACUCCUUUCUUCCACUGGUUUCCUAUCUUUUACCCAUCCUGAGCUGUUCGGCACUCACUAAAUGUGAAUGUAUUGGUGUUCCAUAAACCACCUAAAAAUGUUUAGCAUAUAAAAGAUUCAGGUGUUAAAUUGCUGUUUGUAAAUCAGAAUUCAAACUUCAUUUGAGUUUAUAUCGAGAAUAUGCUAGAGAAAUAUAUGAAAUAUAGCAGUUUUGAUUCUCGAAAGGAGUAGGGGAAUAUAGCCAUUGUUAGAGCACUUGUGUAGCAUCCAGAGGCCCUGGAUUUGAUACCCAAAACUACAAAAAAAUAAAAAUAAAAUGAAAAGAGGGGUGUGGAAAUAUUACUCAGUGGUUACUUGACUAGCACGUAAGCUGGAGUUCAAUUUCCAGUCCAGUAAAGAAAGGAGAGGAGGAGAAGGAGGGUGGGAGGAAGGGGGGACAGAGGGAGACAGACAGACAGACAGACAGCAGGAGAUUGAAGCAGGAUUGCAAGUUCCCAGGCAGCCUGGGCUGACCAGAAUUGAAGGGCUAUAUGGUGAGAAUCUGUCCUUUAAAGGAAGGAAGGGAGGGAGGGAGGAGAGAAAGAAAGAGUUCUAGUGACAGUCACAAAUUUGGCGUUGUAUGACAAAACUUUUCCUGGAGAAAACCAAACACACGCAUUUACUCACCCCAGCUAGGGAUCCCAUGACAGUAUGGAUAUCACCUGCCCUGGCUAGGUUUAUGUCAACUUGACACAGAGUCAUCCGAAAGGAGGGAAUCUUAAUUGAGAAAAUGCCUCCAUAGAAUCUGGCUGUAGGGCAUUUCUUAUUUAUUGAUUGAUGGGGGAGAGCCUAGCCCAUCACAGGCUGGUGGAACCAUUCUCUUAGAAAGCAGGCUGAGUGUGCCAUGAAAAGCAAGCCAGCAAGCAGCACUUCCAUGGCCUCUGCAUCAGCUCCUGCCUCCCAGUUUCUUUGUUAAUGGACUACUAUGUGGAGGGGUAAGCCAAGUAAAUCUCCCCAAGUUGCUUUGGGUCAUGGUAUUUCAUCACAGCAAUGGUAACCCUAAACUAAGACACCAGCAAUGUUCAAUUUAGUAAUCCAGCGAGUUUUAUUAGAGUUACUUGCAGGAAUAUGGGUUAGGGGUUACUUAUAGGUUACUUAUAGAAAUGACUCAAAGACAACUGCAUCACAAAGUGCAACCCAGCAUGGGGGACAGCUCACAAACUGGAGCACACUUCAUACCGUGCAGCAGCUCAAUGGAUUGGAGCGUGUUCUUUCUUGGUGCCUCCGUUGGUCCAAACCUCUUCUAGGCGCCUCAGCUGGUUUCUGCUUCGUCCGGGCAGCUGGCCUGGUCUGAGUCUUUGGAGCUUGUGCUGCUCAGCUUCUCUUUUUCUCAGAGGCUCUGCUCUUAUUGCAUACUCUGGCAGGGAGUGGCUGAAUGAAUCUGGUCAGGUUCAGGGACUUCCUGAAGUUUCUUUGAGUAGUUUAUUGUCCCUAAGGAGCUACCCUGCAGGAUGCAAUGUUUCAAUCUCAUAGGAAACUGUUAAACAAUACUUAGCAAGCAAAAAUGUCCCCAUAGAAAUUGUAUAUAUCAAUGUUUUGGGCUGGAGAGAGGGUUCAGCUGUUAAAGACAAGGCUCACAGAAAAGACAAACAGUACUAAGCGAUAACAAAAUGUGGAUGGCCAGCUGAGAUGCUCACAUUCUGAGGGUGAAUUGUAAAUUGGAAAGUAAAUUGUAAGUUGGCUACUUCUAUUAGAGAUAAACUGCUAUGAAAUGAAUUGCUUUAAACCAGCAAAUUCUGUGUGUAAGAGUAUGCCCAACAGCUAUUUGUACAUAUGUUCAUCAAAAGAUGUGUGAAAAUGUUUAUAGUAGUGUUGUUCAUAAGAGCUUCAAAAAAGUAAAUUAUCCAAAUGUCCAUCAGAAAUAAAAUGUAAUGGAUUCUUACAUUAGAAUACUUUCUAGUGAUAAGAAUUAAUAUGGACUAUAGCAUAUUUAAUAUACAUUAAUUUUUCCCAUGUUGGUAAAAAUUUCCAGUAUAGAGUGAAAGAAAACCAAACCAAAAACAAAUUGUAAGAUUGCAGAGAGUAGGGCUAAGGAUGUAGCUUAGUGAUACGGGUACAAGUCUGUAGGGUAGCCCUCUAGCACUAAACAGACUAAAGAACUGUUUAUAUAGUAUAGUCAAAGCUAUCCCAAGCUGUUAGAACUCACAAUCAUGACUUCUUUUAGAGGAUUUUCAAGUAGAAGAAAUCACUAUUGGGUUGGGUUUUUUUUGUUUUUGUUUUUUGUUUUUUGGUCCAGUCGUUUAAAUUCGAAAAGUAAAAGUGAAAAUUCAUUGAGCUUAGGAUAUUUCAACUUAAACAUGUUCUUAAAAGAGCUGGAGCAAUAGCUCAGUGGGUAAGAGCAUUCACUGCUCUUGCAGAGGACCCAGGUUUGGUUCCAGCAUCCACGUGGCAGCUCCUAACUGUCUGUGAGUCCAGUUCCAGAGAAUCUGAUCCUCUGUAGGCCCCGAAAACACAUGACACACAUAUAUACACUCAGAUUAAAGCUUCUUUUUAAGACAGAGUUCUCUGUGUAGCCUUAGAUGUCCUGGAAUUUGCUCUGUAGACCAUGCUGGCUUCAGAGAUCCACCUGCUUCUGCCUCCCAAGUGCUAGAAUUGCAACCAUGCUCUACCACCGCCUAGGUGACUAAAUUUUUUUCAGAGAAGGAAAAGCAAAAAACAUUAACUCAUCUUCCAGAGGAUUUAAGUACAAUUUCAAGCACCCAUGUCAAAUGACUCUUAACUGUAUCACCACCUUCUGGCUUCUUCAGGCAACUAUAUUAAGUGUGACAUAUAUAUGCUUGUACACACAUACACACAAGAAUACACAAGCAUUUAUACACACACACACAUUUGUACGUACAUACACAAAUUCACACAUACAUAUGCAUACACAACACAAUGCAUACACACAUAUAUGCAUACGCAUGUACACAUGUUCAUAAAUACAUAUACAUACACACAUACACACAAAAUAAAUCUGGAGAGAAAAAUUCUUCCUUAAAAAGUGUAUUCCUUGGGGUUGGGGAUUUAGCUCAGUGGUAGAGCGCUUGCCUAGGAAGCGCAAGGCCCUGGGUUCGGUCCCCAGCUCCGAAAAAAAAAAAAAAAAAAAAAAAAAAAAGAACCAAAAAGUGUAUUCCUUUCUUGAUGUCCCUCUUAGGAGUUCUUUCUUAACUUUCCUUAAUUUAUAUUUUCCCUGUUCCAAACAAAACAAAACAGAAACAAACCCUCUUUUUCUUAAAACGUUAGGGAAGGGCUAAAAUUUGGAGAUUUUGAGCUGGCCUUACUCAUUAGCUAGAGCAUCGCUCACAGUUAAAGGCCAUCCUGCUUUAUGACAGUGAGUUCUAAGCCAACUUGGGUUCCAGAAUGAGACCCUGCCUCAGAAAAAUACCCCUACUUCCAGCUAAGAAAUUAUUUUAAAUUCUAGUUUAGUUAAUUUUUUGUUUGUAGUUUAUGGGAGAAUCUCCUAUUUUUUGGUUCUUGGUUUGUGUUUGUCUGAUUUAGGAGAACUAUGACUGACUGUAUUUUACACAUAACAUACAGGACUCAUCUUUUCUGUUGAACUUGAAGAAUUAUAUUGGAUGCUGUGGAACGAAAAGGCACCAUGUGGAUAGUUAGAGGAUUUAAGGGAAUUUGUAGCUGAUAGAAGUGGUGAACUGGAAAGGGUCAACUCUGCUACGAUGAGAAGGCUUUGGAUUCACACAUGAGAUGAUUGAUUUUCUUAGAACCAGAAAGAAAAAAAAAAGCAGUAGGAGAUGGGAAGUGAAGGAAGAGCUACAGGAGAUAGUGAAGAGGACUCAAGCCGUUUUUUAACUGUCAGGAAAAUGAUUUUGCUUUGCAGUUGAAUCCAUUCCAGGGGAUCUUGGUGGCUGAUCUGUAGUCUGUGCAUGUUUAAGGGUCUUAUUUAGAAUAAACUCACUGCUCCCAAAUUAUGACUCUGGUGUUCUAAGUAGAGACAGCUGUUUCAGUUUGGCUUCCCUGGUAGAGUCACCUCUGUCCAUGCAGCUUUGUGCCUGAUAUUUGUCCCCCAAAUCACAGAGGAAGACAGGUCUUUCAGUGGUGUGACCUGAUUUCACCAGGGCCAGGGGAUGAAGAAAGGGUGGUUGGCUCUGUGGUUCUUCCCAGUGUGUGCUCACUUUGGCAGACCAAAAAAGCAGUUGUGAAUGUGGACCAAAGAGUGACAGCUGGCUUAGCAUUUUGUGUACACUAACAAAAGAACUGAGCAUGAACAAUGGAAAGAUUUCAUAAUGUGAAAGCAUAUUCCAUGUAUGAUAUAAGUUGGGUUAUUUAUCCACUUUUAUGGAAGGGUCACUACUGUGGAAAGCUUUGUGUUCUGAGUACACACAAGUAAACCAUAUUGCAGUUAGUACUCUUCCUGAAAUAGGAAAGUGAUUUAUGAGGUGUGGGCUCUUAUGUGAAAGCAAACAGAACUGGUUACUGUGUGGGCCUAUAAAAUUCCUCUGCCAUCUCAGUGGUGUGGUUUACAAGAAGAUGAUGAGGCAAGCUGGCUGGCCCUCCUCACCUGGGCUCAGCUGCCCCAAAUACGUGUGAUAUUGAAGGUUAUUUAUGAGCUCUUCUGGACUGCCAUUCGGUACUCUUCCGUCCUGGUAGUGAAGAUUUGCGAGCAGAAUAUAGACGCUCUCAUUAAUCUUCUUGGUUUUGUUGAGGAUUUCUUGCCGAGUGGAGCUGCUAUUGAAGAAUGGAUUGGCCUUUUCCACUGAACUGCAAUGGCUCAGAUUAAUAUUAAUCCCUUUAAUGCCGUAGUUCAUGAUAUAGUCAUUAGGUGACUUGGAACUAAUCGUGUCCUCCUAACUAGUGUGAUUUAUUAAACACACAUAGAGAUUGAGUCUGAAUACAGCUAGGCAGAAUCAGCAGCAAAUAAAUACCUCUGUGCAUCUGUAUUAAUGCUGGUUGAUUGGGGCACAGUUGCAGUCUGGCUGGGGAGAAACAGGGCAAAAGGAAGCUGGGCUCUCAGAAGCAAUAGUAUUUACUCCUCCGUACCCCUUAAUUUACAUAGCAAAACUAAUAUAAACUCUUAUACAAGAGAAUCAGUAUCAGUAACAAGGAAUUUUAAUUCUGUGGAUGUGAAAUCAAAGAAGGGAAAAUACUACAUAAAUACUUGAAAAACUUUAAAGGCAGGCUUAAAUUAAGAAAAAAAAUUCCUGGAAGAACAACAAUAUCAACCAACCAGAUCCCACCAGAGCUCCCAGGGACUAAGCCACAACCAAUGAGUACACAUGAAGGGACCCAUGGCUCCAGCCACCUAUGUAGCAGAGGAUGGCAUUGUCCAGCAUCAAUAGGAGGAAAACCCUUGGUCCUGUGAAGGCUCAUUUCCCCAAUGUAGGGGAAUGCCAGAGUGUUGAGGUUGGAGUGGGAGUAUCCUCGUAGAAGUAGGGGGAGAGGGAAGGGAUGACAUUUGAAAUGUAAAUACAUAAAAUAUCCGAGAAAAAUAGAAUUUAAAAAAAAGAAAAGAAAAAUUCCUUAAACUUAAUUAUUUGAAUGAUUUCUCUUCUAUGCUGCUGAUGUUCCUCCUCCUCCCUCUGUCUCUCUGGGUCUCUGUCUCUCUGUGUCUCUGUCUCAGUCUAUCUCUCUCUGUGCAUGUGCGUGUGUAUGUGUGUGUGUGUCCCAAGCUGUCUCUGUAGCCCUGGCUAGCCUCAAACCCAUAAUUUUUCUGUUUCAUCUUCUUAAGUGCUAAGAUUACAAGUGUGGGCCAUCACUUUAGGCUUCUUUUAACAUUUUAAGAGUAACUAUUCAAACCAGAACUCAGUACUGGGAAUACAGGGCUGUGCUUCCAGCAUAGGAAGCAAAAAGGAUCCUGAGUUUGAGGUCAGCAUAAGCUGCAUAGAAAGACUAGUGAGAUGGCAGAGUAGCUAAGAACAUUUGUUGUUCUGGAAAGGAUCCUAGUUCAAUUCCCAACACCACGUGGUAGCUCACAAGUUUUGAGGUUUGGUUGGUUGCAAUGUAUUGUAAUGCAAAAUACCUGCUCUGGUUGCCUCCGGACAAGGAGAUCCUCAUUUACACGUAGUGGUGCUAGGUAACCUUAUUCCUUAAUCUAAAACUAUUUGGUCAAAUAAAGAUGCCUACAGCCUGAAUCUGGGCAGAAAAGAAGUAGGGACUUGGAGUCUGAGGCAAAGACCAGGAGAAGAAAGAGAUGAAGAGAAGAGAAGAUUCCAUAGGAUAGGUGAAUUGUGAGAACAUGGCCAUGAGGGCUGGCCAGUUGGAGUAAGAGGGGCCCAAGUAGAACAUGGCAAAUUAUAACAGGGUUAUAGAGGGAAAUAGAAAAAUAGCUUAGAGGAUAGGUAUCUGCCCAGCUCUAGUGCAUUUAAGGCUAGUUAUAAAUAUAAAGGUUUUUUUACCUUUCAUUUGGGAACUGAAUGAUCAAAGGUGAGGUAGAAACUCCAAUUAAUUUUUUCUUUAACAUUUUGAUGCCCACUUUAGGCAUCAUUUCUAGAAGUUAUGCUUGGUGCUUCCUCCCAGCCCCAUGCUCCUAGAAAUAAGACUCAGACUCAGAAUAUAUAUAAAAAUACCUUGAUCACAUUGCUAGGCUUUCUCUUAUUAGGUCAUAACUUACAUUAUCCCAUUUAUUCUAAUCUACAGUCUGCCAUGUGUCUGAUUACCUGUGCUCACCUACCAUGUGUCUGUCUUCUUGGACGGAUCUCC
Rattus norvegicus (Norway rat) is the source of this 41877-nucleotide non-coding RNA. Lineage: Eukaryota; Metazoa; Chordata; Mammalia; Rodentia; Muridae. The record is from RefSeq and is a predicted model, not a curated record.